RNAcentral lists this long non-coding RNA (407 nucleotides) under Monodelphis domestica (gray short-tailed opossum). RNAcentral's name for it is "lncRNA (ENSMODG00000040305.1)". The record is from RNAcentral. Lineage: Eukaryota; Metazoa; Chordata; Mammalia; Didelphimorphia; Didelphidae.
UGUUCAGCAGCUAGGUCGCACAAUGGAUUGAGCACCAGCCCUAAAGUCAGGAAGAUAAGAGUUCAAAUCUGGUCUCAAAAACUCACCAGCUGUGUGAUCUUGGAUGAGGAAACUGCAGUCGAGAGGGAGCAAGUGACUUCCUAGGUUUUGUAAAUGCUGGAAAAAGUCCAGAGUGCAUUUCUUCCAAGAGAAAGAGCACUUUGGUGCUUCGUUAAAAUGCCUCUUCCACCCGAUGCUGAAGUCUUGGGCUCAUUCAUUUCAUAGCUGACGACUCACAGAAGGAGAAGCAUAUCCCAGAAAAAUGGGAGUUUGACUGGAUCAAUCAUUCAAAGCAGCAGAUCUCUUUAAACAUGACAACAUGACCUAAAAUAACACAGCAAAAACUCAGAAGGGAAGGCUUAGAAUUG